AGCCAGACUCCUACGGGAGGCAGCAGUGGGGGAUAUUGCACAAUGGGGGGAACCCUGAUGCAGCGACGCCGCGUGGGUGAAGGAGUGCUUCGGCAUGUAAAGCCCUAUCGGCAGGGAAGAAGGAGGACGGUACCUGACUAAGAAGCCCCGGCUAACUACGUGCCAGCAGCCGCGGUAAUACGUAGGGGGCAAGCGUUAUCCGGAUUUACUGGGUGUAAAGGGGGCGCAGACGGCAGCGCAAGCCAGGAGUGAAAGCCCGGGGCCCAACCCCGGGACUGCUCUUGGAACUGCGCGGCUGGAGUACAGGAGAGGUAAGUGGAAUUCCUAGUGUAGCGGUGAAAUGCGUAGAUAUUAGGAGGAACACCAGUGGCGAAGGCGGCUUACUGGACUGUAACUGACGUUGAGGCUCGAAAGCGUGGGGAGCAAACAGGAUUAGAUACCCUAGUA
This 447-nucleotide ribosomal RNA is filed under the name uncultured bacterium. RNAcentral describes it as "partial 16S ribosomal RNA". It matches the Rfam family "Bacterial small subunit ribosomal RNA", at positions 329 to 792 of the family's 1533-position model. The record is from RNAcentral.